Molecule: ribosomal RNA, 253 nt
Filed under: uncultured bacterium
Lineage: Bacteria
Description: partial 16S ribosomal RNA
Rfam family: Bacterial small subunit ribosomal RNA
Source: RNAcentral
UACGAAGGGGGCUAGCGUUGCUCGGAAUCACUGGGCGUAAAGGGCGCGUAGGCGGCGUUUUAAGUUGGGGGUGAAAGCCUGUGGCUCAACCACAGAAUUGCCUUCGAUACUGGGACGCUUGAGGGUGGUAGAGGUUGGUGGAACUGCGAGUGUAGAGGUGAAAUUCGUAGAUAUUCGCAAGAACACCGGUGGCGAAGGCGGCCAACUGGACCAUCACUGACGCUGAGGUGCGAAAGCGUGGGGAGCAAACAGG